UACGUAGGUGGCAAGCGUUGUCCGGAUUUACUGGGCGUAAAGGGAACGCAGGCGGUCUUUUAAGUCUGAUGUGAAAGCCUUCGGCUUAACCGGAGUAGUGCAUUGGAAACUGGGAGACUUGAGUGCAGAAGAGGAGAGUGGAACUCCAUGUGUAGCGGUGAAAUGCGUAGAUAUAUGGAAGAACACCAGUGGCGAAAGCGGCUCUCUGGUCUGUAACUGACGCUGAGGCUCGAAAGCGUGGGGAGCAAACAGG
RNAcentral lists this ribosomal RNA (253 nucleotides) under uncultured bacterium. RNAcentral describes it as "partial 16S ribosomal RNA". It matches the Rfam family "Bacterial small subunit ribosomal RNA", at positions 524 to 776 of the family's 1533-position model. The record is from RNAcentral.